GAUGAACGCUGGCGGCGUGCUUAACACAUGCAAGUCGAACGGAAAGGCCAGUGCUUGCACUGGUACUCGAGUGGCGAACGGGUGAGUAACACGUGGGUGAUCUGCCCUGCACUUCGGGAUAAGCUUGGGAGACUGGGUCUAAUACCGGAUAGGACCACCUCGUUGUUGUUGUGGUGGAAAGUUUUUUCGGUGUGGGAUGAGCUCGCGGCCUAUCAGCUUGUUGGUGGGGUAAUGGCCUACCAAGGCGUCGACGGGUAGCCGGCCUGAGAGGGUGUGCGGCAGCAUUGGGACUGAGAUACGGCCCAGACUCCUACGGGAGGCAGCAGUAGGGAAUAUUGCACAAUGGGCGGGAGCGUGAUGGAGCGACGCGGCGUGGGGGAUGACGGCCUUCGGGUAGUAGACUCCUUUCGCUAAAGACGAAUUUUGACGGUAUUUGGAGAAGAAGCACCGGCUAACUACGUG
Molecule: ribosomal RNA, 462 nt
Filed under: uncultured bacterium
Lineage: Bacteria
Description: partial 16S ribosomal RNA
Rfam family: Bacterial small subunit ribosomal RNA
Source: RNAcentral